GGUAUAAUAGCUCAGUGGUAGAGUCUGUGCUUAGCAUGCAUGAGGCCCUUGGUUCGACCCCCAGUACAACUA
RNAcentral lists this transfer RNA (72 nucleotides) under Camelus bactrianus (Bactrian camel). It matches the Rfam family "tRNA". From Rfam's summary of the family: Transfer RNA (tRNA) molecules are approximately 80 nucleotides in length. Their secondary structure includes four short double-helical elements and three loops (D, anti-codon, and T loops). Lineage: Eukaryota; Metazoa; Chordata; Mammalia; Artiodactyla; Camelidae. The record is from Rfam by way of RNAcentral. RNAcentral also lists the same sequence under 3 other names.